CUAUAGUCUUACGACCAUACUGCCUAGUCUUACGUAUUUCUUUUCUUCAAAUUUAAAUUCUUAAUAUAUUGUCUUUCGUAAGUAUUCCAAUUAGUAGUUUUCGUAAGUAUAGUCAAUUCCAGGUAAAGUAUAAUCCAUUUUUCCAAUUGUCAAAUCCAGAGUAAAUAUCAAUUCAGUACGAUUUUCCUCGUCAGUGAAUAUGUUUCAUACUAUCCGUAAAAUAUGUUUUUACUAUCCUCUUCUUAAUUUAAAGCUUCAUUGAGAUAUAGAAUUUGCAAUUCCACUAUUUGCUCUUUGCUCCAUGUAUUGAGCGUGCUUCAAAAUUUCAAAAACUUAGAGAUAAAUUAUAUGAAAUAUGGACACCCAAAAAUUUCACUUCAGAUGUAGUGGGUAACAAACAAUUAUUAUAUUGCACAGCAGGUGUACUGUGACAAUGUUUACCAAAUACAAUAACUUUAGACUUGGAUGGAUUCACACUGAGAUCAAGGAAUCCCUAUUUGUAAUAACUCAAGGCAUAGAAUAUCUAUGUUUACACUAUUAAAAGCACCUGCGAUGUCAAAGAAUACACCGACCAAGUUUUCAUUUGCGGAUAUAGAGUUUUGUAUAUCCAGCUGUAACUGGCAA
Long non-coding RNA from Manduca sexta (tobacco hornworm), 624 nucleotides. RefSeq lists it as uncharacterized. The record is from RefSeq and is a predicted model, not a curated record. The transcript has 3 exons. NCBI's taxonomy places the organism in Eukaryota, Metazoa, Arthropoda, Insecta, Lepidoptera, Sphingidae.